AAACGCAUGUGUGCGUCAUAUAUUUACCAUGUUUUAUUAUUUUGCACGUUUGCAGUAAGUUUAAGCUCGUUGCUUCGGCGAGAGUAGCACUAGGAUGGGUGACCUCCUGGGAAGUCCUCGUGUUGCAUUUC
Molecule: non-coding RNA, 131 nt
Organism: Triticum urartu
Lineage: Eukaryota; Viridiplantae; Streptophyta; Magnoliopsida; Poales; Poaceae
Source: Rfam